Molecule: non-coding RNA, 117 nt
Filed under: Nomascus leucogenys (northern white-cheeked gibbon)
Lineage: Eukaryota; Metazoa; Chordata; Mammalia; Primates; Hylobatidae
Source: Rfam by way of RNAcentral
GCUGGGUGUGGUGGCUCACUCCUGUAAUCCCAGCACUUUGGGAGGCUGAGGUGGGUGGAUCACCUGAGGUCAGGAGUUCGAGACCAGCCUGGCCAACAUGGUGAAACCCCAUCUCUA